GUCACCUACAAUUUCCAAAAUCUCUGAUAUUUAGAAGACACAACAAGGAAUAUGGAACAGGAAGAUCAACCUUGCAAACAGCAGAAAGGAAUUAAACCCUAAUUGCUAGCAAAAUCUCAAUUCUAUGAAUCAAAGUGAGGGUGUGGGAAGAUCCAAUCCAAGACAAACAAAUGACAUUAUUCACGGUUUUCUUUCUACAAGCAACAAAAGCAUGAAGAGAAAAUACGUCGAUAUUAUAAUUUAAGAUAUUUUCCAGCAUGCGUAUCUGUUAUGAACUCAUUCCAUAUAUUUCUAUAAGAAGAUUUCUACCAUCAGAGAAUGUAAUGGAAUCCAUUUGCUGCAAAUCCAUCAAUACUAAGUUCAUAGAAACAGUUCCAGGAUACCACGCCACAAAGCAUACAAUUCAGCUUACCUCUACCCUUAAUAGCUCUGAGUGUUUCAACUUCUCCCCAUCCAAGUGCAGUUGUGGUUCGCACUUCAAAGACUGAUCAACCGCUGAAACUGUUGAGGACUCCGGUAUGUAUUGAGAUUCAAACUGUGGCCCUUGUGGAGAAUCAGUGUCAGAGUACGCAAACAUAUCAUUUGGUUUCGACAGCUUAGAGAUAUUGCUUUUGUUAA
Manihot esculenta (cassava) is the source of this 618-nucleotide long non-coding RNA. RefSeq lists it as uncharacterized. The transcript is spliced from 2 exons. The record is from RefSeq and is a predicted model, not a curated record. NCBI's taxonomy places the organism in Eukaryota, Viridiplantae, Streptophyta, Magnoliopsida, Malpighiales, Euphorbiaceae.